AGCGAAGCUGCUUAGAGGCUGUAGAAUUGUGCUACGAAGUACAGAAAUGCCCCGGCAUGGAAGCCGGGGCAAGGAGCUAUCGAGCCAUGGAUGGCGAGUAGCGACGGUUUCGUCAGGCAUAGAAAACCAAAAUCACAAUUCGUACAGCCACUUAGCAGCGAAGC
Molecule: non-coding RNA, 164 nt
Filed under: Agathobacter rectalis
Lineage: Bacteria; Bacillati; Bacillota; Clostridia; Lachnospirales; Lachnospiraceae
Source: RNAcentral